This 745-nucleotide ribosomal RNA is filed under the name uncultured bacterium. Its description in RNAcentral is "bacterial SSU rRNA". It matches the Rfam family "Bacterial small subunit ribosomal RNA", at positions 33 to 773 of the family's 1533-position model. The record is from RNAcentral.
ACGCUGGCGGCAGGCCUAACACAUGCAAGUCGAGCGGUAGAGAGAAGCUUGCUUCUCUUGAGAGCGGCGGACGGGUGAGUAAUGCCUAGGAAUCUGCCUGGUAGUGGGGGAUAACGUUCGGAAACGGACGCUAAUACCGCAUACGUCCUACGGGAGAAAGCAGGGGACCUUCGGGCCUUGCGCUAUCAGAUGAGCCUAGGUCGGAUUAGCUAGUUGGUGAGGUAAUGGCUCACCAAGGCGACGAUCCGUAACUGGUCUGAGAGGAUGAUCAGUCACACUGGAACUGAGACACGGUCCAGACUCCUACGGGAGGCAGCAGUGGGGAAUAUUGGACAAUGGGCGAAAGCCUGAUCCAGCCAUGCCGCGUGUGUGAAGAAGGGCUUCGGAUUGUAAAGCACUUUAAGUUGGGAGGAAGGGUUGUAGAUUAAUACUCUGCAAUUUUGACGUUACCGACAGAAUAAGCACCGGCUAACUCUGUGCCAGCAGCCGCGGUAAUACAGAGGGUGCAAGCGUUAAUCGGAAUUACUGGGCGUAAAGCGCGCGUAGGUGGUUUGUUAAGUUGGAUGUGAAAUCCCCGGGCUCAACCUGGGAACUGCAUUCAAAACUGACUGACUAGAGUAUGGUAGAGGGUGGUGGAAUUUCCUGUGUAGCGGUGAAAUGCGUAGAUAUAGGAAGGAACACCAGUGGCGAAGGCGACCACCUGGACUAAUACUGACACUGAGGUGCGAAAGCGUGGGGAGCAAAC